This 459-nucleotide ribosomal RNA is filed under the name uncultured bacterium. RNAcentral's name for it is "partial 16S ribosomal RNA". It matches the Rfam family "Bacterial small subunit ribosomal RNA", at positions 338 to 795 of the family's 1533-position model. The record is from RNAcentral.
CCUACGGGUGCAGCAGUGAGGAAUAUUGGUCAAUGGACGCAAGUCUGAACCAGCCAUGCCGCGUGCAGGAAGACGGCUCUAUGAGUUGUAAACUGCUUUUGUACGAGGGUAAACGCAGAUACGCGUAUCUGUCUGAAAGUAUCGUACGAAUAAGGAUCGGCUAACCCCGUGCCAGCAGCCGCGGUAAUACGGAGGAUUCAAGCGUUAUCCGGAUUUAUUGGGGUGAAAGGGUGCGUAGGCGGUCGGAUAAGUUAGAGGUGAAAUCCCGAGGCUCAACUUCGGAAUUGCCUCUGAUACUGUUCGGCUAGAGAGUAGUUGAGGUAGGCAGAAUGUAUGGUGUAGCGGUGAAAUGCUUAGAGAUCAUACAGAACACCGAUUGCGAAGGCAGCUUACCAAGCUACUUCUGACGUUGAGGCACGAAAGCGUGGGGAGCAAACAGGAUUAGAUACCCCUGUAGUC